AUGUUUAGACUGGAUUCCUCUAUUUCACCUCCUAUAAUGGAUCCACUGGAUCCGGGCCACUAUUCCCCUCGCAAGAUAUACUCUCGGAGGUAUUACUAGGGGAGAUUCCCCGCUUAUUUAAUCACUCCCUGGGGACUUUAUGGGACAGUAUGGGGGCUGUUUGAACCGACCAUCUUGGGUUCAGCUCCCAGGAUUGGCCCAUUUUUGUUGGUGAC
This is a non-coding RNA of Pelobates cultripes (western spadefoot toad), 215 nucleotides long. Lineage: Eukaryota; Metazoa; Chordata; Amphibia; Anura; Pelobatidae. The record is from the annotation of a GenBank genome assembly.